AUCGCUUCUCGGCCUUUUGGCUAAGAUCAAGUGCAGUAUCUGUUCUUAUCAGUUGAAUAUCCCAUUGUUAUCUAUAUGAAUUCUCUAGCUCAUAUUAUAGAUUCCUA
The sequence is a small nuclear RNA, 107 nucleotides long. Its record names the gene U2. It matches the Rfam family "U2 spliceosomal RNA". From Rfam's summary of the family: U2 is a small nuclear RNA (snRNA) component of the spliceosome (involved in pre-mRNA splicing). Complementary binding between U2 snRNA (in an area lying towards the 5' end but 3' to hairpin I) and the branchpoint sequence (BPS) of the intron results the bulging out of an unpaired adenosine, on the BPS, which initiates a nucleophilic attack at the intronic 5' splice site, thus starting the first of two transesterification reactions that mediate splicing. The record is from Ensembl.